This 2922-nucleotide ribosomal RNA is filed under the name Klebsiella pneumoniae. Its description in RNAcentral is "23S ribosomal RNA". It matches the Rfam family "Bacterial large subunit ribosomal RNA". The record is from RNAcentral. Lineage: Bacteria; Pseudomonadati; Pseudomonadota; Gammaproteobacteria; Enterobacterales; Enterobacteriaceae.
GGGUUGUGAGGUUAAGCGACUAAGCGUACACGGUGGAUGCCCUGGCAGUCAGAGGCGAUGAAGGACGUGCUAAUCUGCGAAAAGCGUCGGUAAGGUGAUAUGAACCGUUAUAACCGGCGAUGUCCGAAUGGGGAAACCCAGUGCAAUUCGUUGCACUAUCGUUAACUGAAUACAUAGGUUAACGAGGCGAACCGGGGGAACUGAAACAUCUAAGUACCCCGAGGAAAAGAAAUCAACCGAGAUUCCCCCAGUAGCGGCGAGCGAACGGGGAGCAGCCCAGAGUCUGAAUCAGCUUGUGUGUUAGUGGAACGGUCUGGAAAGUCCGACGGUACAGGGUGAUAGUCCCGUACACCAAAAUGCACAGGUUGUGAACUCGAAGAGUAGGGCGGGACACGUGGUAUCCUGUCUGAAUAUGGGGGGACCAUCCUCCAAGGCUAAAUACUCCUGACUGACCGAUAGUGAACCAGUACCGUGAGGGAAAGGCGAAAAGAACCCCGGCGAGGGGAGUGAAAAAGAACCUGAAACCGUGUACGUACAAGCAGUGGGAGCACCUUCGGGUGUGACUGCGUACCUUUUGUAUAAUGGGUCAGCGACUUAUAUUCUGUAGCAAGGUUAACCGUAUAGGGGAGCCGCAGGGAAACCGAGUCUUAACUGGGCGUUAAGUUGCAGGGUAUAGACCCGAAACCCGGUGAUCUAGCCAUGGGCAGGUUGAAGGUUGGGUAACACUAACUGGAGGACCGAACCGACUAAUGUUGAAAAAUUAGCGGAUGACUUGUGGCUGGGGGUGAAAGGCCAAUCAAACCGGGAGAUAGCUGGUUCUCCCCGAAAGCUAUUUAGGUAGCGCCUCGUGAAUUCAUCUUCGGGGGUAGAGCACUGUUUCGGCUAGGGGGUCAUCCCGACUUACCAACCCGAUGCAAACUACGAAUACCGAAGAAUGUUAUCACGGGAGACACACGGCGGGUGCUAACGUCCGUCGUGAAGAGGAAACAACCCAGACCGCCAGCUAAGGUCCCAAAGUCAUGGUUAAGUGGGAAACGAUGUGGGAAGGCACAGACAGCCAGGAUGUUGGCUUAGAAGCAGCCAUCAUUUAAAGAAAGCGUAAUAGCUCACUGGUCGAGUCGGCCUGCGCGGAAGAUGUAACGGGGCUAAACCAUGCACCGAAGCUGCGGCAGCGACACUAUGUGUUGUUGGGUAGGGGAGCGUUCUGUAAGCCUGCGAAGGUGUGCUGUGAGGCAUGCUGGAGGUAUCAGAAGUGCGAAUGCUGACAUAAGUAACGAUAAAGCGGGUGAAAAGCCCGCUCGCCGGAAGACCAAGGGUUCCUGUCCAACGUUAAUCGGGGCAGGGUGAGUCGACCCCUAAGGCGAGGCCGAAAGGCGUAGUCGAUGGGAAACAGGUUAAUAUUCCUGUACUUGGUGUUACUGCGAAGGGGGGACGGAGAAGGCUAUGUUAGCCGGGCGACGGUUGUCCCGGUUUAAGCAUGUAGGCUGAUUAUCCAGGCAAAUCCGGUAACUUUCAAGGCUGAGGUGUGAUGACGAGGCACUACGGUGCUGAAGUAACAAAUGCCCUGCUUCCAGGAAAAGCCUCUAAGCAUCAGGUAACAUCAAAUCGUACCCCAAACCGACACAGGUGGUCAGGUAGAGAAUACCAAGGCGCUUGAGAGAACUCGGGUGAAGGAACUAGGCAAAAUGGUGCCGUAACUUCGGGAGAAGGCACGCUGGUGUGUAGGUGAAGCCCCUGCGGGUGGAGCUGAGACCAGUCGAAGAUACCAGCUGGCUGCAACUGUUUAUUAAAACACAGCACUGUGCAAACACGAAAGUGGACGUAUACGGUGUGACGCCUGCCCGGUGCCGGAAGGUUAAUUGAUGGGGUUAUCCGUAAGGAGAAGCUCUUGAUCGAAGCCCCGGUAAACGGCGGCCGUAACUAUAACGGUCCUAAGGUAGCGAAAUUCCUUGUCGGGUAAGUUCCGACCUGCACGAAUGGCGUAAUGAUGGCGAGGCUGUCUCCACCCGAGACUCAGUGAAAUUGAACUCGCUGUGAAGAUGCAGUGUACCCGCGGCAAGACGGAAAGACCCCGUGAACCUUUACUAUAGCUUGACACUGAACAUUGAGCCUUGAUGUGUAGGAUAGGUGGGAGGCUUUGAAGCGUGGACGCCAGUCUGCGUGGAGCCAACCUUGAAAUACCACCCUUUAAUGUUUGAUGUUCUAACGUUGGCCCCUGACCGGGGUUGCGGACAGUGUCUGGUGGGUAGUUUGACUGGGGCGGUCUCCUCCCAAAGCGUAACGGAGGAGCACGAAGGUUAGCUAAUCCUGGUCGGACAUCAGGAGGUUAGUGCAAUGGCAUAAGCUAGCUUGACUGCGAGCGUGACGGCGCGAGCAGGUGCGAAAGCAGGUCAUAGUGAUCCGGUGGUUCUGAAUGGAAGGGCCAUCGCUCAACGGAUAAAAGGUACUCCGGGGAUAACAGGCUGAUACCGCCCAAGAGUUCAUAUCGACGGCGGUGUUUGGCACCUCGAUGUCGGCUCAUCACAUCCUGGGGCUGAAGUAGGUCCCAAGGGUAUGGCUGUUCGCCAUUUAAAGUGGUACGCGAGCUGGGUUUAGAACGUCGUGAGACAGUUCGGUCCCUAUCUGCCGUGGGCGCUGGAGAAUUGAGGGGGGCUGCUCCUAGUACGAGAGGACCGGAGUGGACGCAUCACUGGUGUUCGGGUUGUCAUGCCAAUGGCACUGCCCGGUAGCUAAAUGCGGAAGAGAUAAGUGCUGAAAGCAUCUAAGCACGAAACUUGCCCCGAGAUGAGUUCUCCUGAGACUUUAAGUCUCCUGAAGGAACGUUGAAGACGACGACGUUGAUAGGCCGGGUGUGUAAGCGCAGCGAUGCGUUGAGCUAACCGGUACUAAUGAACCGUGAGGCUUAACCUUACAACGCCGAAG